Molecule: ribosomal RNA, 655 nt
Filed under: uncultured Lactobacillus sp.
Lineage: Bacteria; Bacillati; Bacillota; Bacilli; Lactobacillales; Lactobacillaceae
Description: bacterial SSU rRNA
Rfam family: Bacterial small subunit ribosomal RNA
Source: RNAcentral
UCGGCUUAGAGUUUGAUCAUGGCUCAGGACGAACGCUGGCGGCGUGCCUAAUACAUGCAAGUCGAACGAAUUGGUGCUUGCAUCAUUGAGUGGCGAACUGGUGAGUAACACGUGGGAAACCUGCCCAGAAGCGGGGGAUAACACCUGGAAACAGAUGCUAAUACCGCAUAACAACUUGACCGCAUGGUCCGAGUUGAAAGAUGUUCGUAUCACUUUUGGAUGGUCCCGCGGCGUAUUAGCUAGAUGGUGAGGUAACGGCUCACCAUGGCAAUGAUACGUAGCCGACCUGAGAGGGUAAUCGGCCACAUUGGGACUGAGACACGGCCCAAACUCCUACGGGAGGCAGCAGUAGGGAAUCUUCCACAAUGGACGAAAGUCUGAUGGAGCAACGCCGCGUGAGUGAAGAAGGGUUUCGGCUCGUAAAGCUCUGUUGUUAAAGAAGAACAUAUCUGAGGUAAUUCAGGUAUUGACGGUAUUUAACCAGAAAGCCACGGCUAACUACGUGCCAGCAGCCGCGGUAAUACGUAGUGGCAAGCGUUGUCCGGAUUUAUUGGGCGUAAAGCGGGCGCAGCGGUUUUUUAAGUCUGAUGUGAAAGCCUUCGGCUCACCGAGAAGUGCAUCGGAAACUGGGAAACUUGAGUGCAGAGAGGACAGU